GAGUUUGAUCCUGGCUCAGGACGAACGCUGGCGGCACGCCUAACACAUGCAAGUCGAACGGAGAUAUUUUGGUUUACUGAGAUAUCUUAGUGGCGGACGGGUGAGUAACACGUGAGCAACCUGCCUCUGAGAGAGGGAUAGCUUCUGGAAACGGAUGGUAAUACCUCAUAACAUAACGAAGCCGCAUGACUUUGUUAUCAAAGAUUUAUCACUCAGAGAUGGGCUCGCGUCUGAUUAGAUAGUUGGUGAGGUAACGGCUCACCAAGUCGACGAUCAGUAGCCGGACUGAGAGGUUGAACGGCCACAUUGGGACUGAGACACGGCCCAGACUCCCACGGGAGGCAGCAGUGGGGAAUAUUGCACAAUGKKGGAAACCCUGAUGCAGCGAUGCCGCGUGGAGGAAGAAGGUUUUCGGAUUGUAWACUCCUGUCUUAAAGGACRAUAAUGAWCGGUACUU
Molecule: ribosomal RNA, 457 nt
Filed under: uncultured Bacillota bacterium
Lineage: Bacteria; Bacillati; Bacillota
Description: bacterial SSU rRNA
Source: RNAcentral